CACUUUCUAUACAUAAGAAAAAUCCUCAUAGACAUGGAGAACACAAAAAUGUUCGUAUUGGUAGCGAUGAUGUUAAUGAUUGGAAACCAUCUUACUGUAUCGGUGUACGCGGAUAAUCCAAUAACGCGUGCAUUAUGCUAUUUUAAAUGUAAUGAACUAUGUCUUAUUGAUCCACGUUAUCUUCUAAACUCAGAAAAAUGUGCCAAAAAAUGUGUUAAGGAAUGUCAUAUGCCACCUGGUUAUGUAAUACAAGACACAAUCAACCAAAUUGAUUAUUUCUGCCAAGUGGGUUGUGUUAAUCAUCGUUGUGCUCUCACUGAAAAUCAAAAUAUGGAGAAAGCUGCGGGCUGUGUGAAUUCAUGUUCAGAAAUUUGUAAUAAAAAGAACUAAUAGCGAUAGAAUAUGUUAUAUUAUAACAAUUUAAUGUUUAAUGAAGAUAGUAUGAAUCAAAUCAAUUUAAUAUACAA
Brassica napus (rape) is the source of this 467-nucleotide long non-coding RNA. RefSeq lists it as uncharacterized. Lineage: Eukaryota; Viridiplantae; Streptophyta; Magnoliopsida; Brassicales; Brassicaceae. The record is from RefSeq and is a predicted model, not a curated record. The transcript has 2 exons.